This 460-nucleotide ribosomal RNA is filed under the name uncultured bacterium. RNAcentral describes it as "partial 16S ribosomal RNA". It matches the Rfam family "Bacterial small subunit ribosomal RNA", at positions 338 to 795 of the family's 1533-position model. The record is from RNAcentral.
CCUACGGGCGGCAGCAGUGAGGAAUAUUGGUCAAUGGCCGUAAGCCUGAACCAGCCAAGUCGCGUGAGGGAUGAAGGUUCUAUGGAUCGUAAACCUCUUUUGUAAGGGAGUAAGGUGUGGGACGUGACCUGUUUUGUAUGUACCUUAUGAAUAAGGAUCGGCUAACUCCGUGCCAGCAGCCGCGGUAAUACGGAGGAUCCGAGCGUUAUCCGGAUUUAUUGGGUUUAAAGGGGGCGUAGGUGGGUUGUUAAGUCAGCUGUGAAAGUUUGUGGCUCAACCAUAAAAUUGCAGUUGAUACUGGGGGUCUUGAGUACAGUUGAGGCAGGCGGAAUGCGUGGUGUAGCGGUGAAAUGCUUAGAUAUCACGAAGAACCCCGAUUGCGAAGGCAGCCUACCAAGCUAUGACUGACGCUGAUGCACGAAAGCGUGGGGAUCAAACAGGAUUAGAUACCCCUGUAGUC